UGCUGAAAGCAUCUAAGCACGAAACUUGCCCCGAGAUGAGUUCUCCCUGACCCUUUAAGGGUCCUGAAGGAACGUUGAAGACGACGACGUUGAUAGGCCGGGUGUGUAAGCGCAGCGAUGCGUUGAGCUAACCGGUACUAAUGAACCGUGAGGCUUAACCUUACAACGCCGAAGCUGUU
RNAcentral lists this ribosomal RNA (179 nucleotides) under Escherichia coli. RNAcentral's name for it is "partial 23S ribosomal RNA". It matches the Rfam family "Bacterial large subunit ribosomal RNA", at positions 2769 to 2925 of the family's 2925-position model. The record is from RNAcentral. Lineage: Bacteria; Pseudomonadati; Pseudomonadota; Gammaproteobacteria; Enterobacterales; Enterobacteriaceae.